RNAcentral lists this ribosomal RNA (253 nucleotides) under uncultured bacterium. RNAcentral's name for it is "partial 16S ribosomal RNA". It matches the Rfam family "Bacterial small subunit ribosomal RNA", at positions 524 to 776 of the family's 1533-position model. The record is from RNAcentral.
UACGGGGGGGGCAAGCGUUGUUCGGAAUUACUGGGCGUAAAGGGCUCGUAGGCGGCCCACUAAGUCGGACGUGAAAUCCCUCGGCUUAACCGGGGAACUGCGUCCGAUACUGGAUGGCUUGAGUUCGGGAGAGGGAUGCGGAAUUCCAGGUGUAGCGGUGAAAUGCGUAGAUAUCUGGAGGAACACCGGUGGCGAAGGCGGCAUCCUGGACCGACACUGACGCUGAGGAGCGAAAGCCAGGGGAGCAAACGGG